Molecule: non-coding RNA, 1336 nt
Organism: Camellia sinensis
Lineage: Eukaryota; Viridiplantae; Streptophyta; Magnoliopsida; Ericales; Theaceae
Source: RefSeq, a predicted model, not a curated record
GGAGCAGCGUUGGAGCAGCAGUGGGGUUCGGUGGAGAGAUGAAGUUUGAUAGCAGUGCGUGGAGCUGCCUACACUCUACCAUUGCUAAUCCUCUCGAUUUCAGACCUCUUGCAUCAGGAAGUGGUGAUAAUGCACUGGGCAUGUGCAAAGAUAAUAGCUUCUUUAGCAAUUCCUGAUAUCACUCUUCUUGAAAUUUUACUUGAUAAGUUAAAAAUAUGCAGAAGUAUAUCUUAUGCAGCAGUUGCUGCUCAUGCGGAUAAGAGUGGCAGACGUAAAUUGGUUGCUAUGCUUGUUGAACAUGAACCACGUUCUUCCAAGUAGGUUCUUUCUUCUUUCUUUUCCACUAUUUCGUUAUUUUUCUUUCUUUCAAUCCUUUGCUGGAGAAAUGUCUCUCUAAAGAACUGAAUGAUGGCUUUAGUUAUUUUGUAAGAGAUUUUGAUCGUUGUCUCAAGUUCCUCUACUACUAAGCAUUGUGGAGGAGGAUACAGCUCUGAGAAAGACAACUGAAAGUUGUGAUACCGACCUUGUCUAUCUUGUCCUAUUUAAUAUCUGGCAGAAGGUAUCACUUGUGAUAUAUACUUAUUUUAAGUAAUUUGUAUGCCUUAAUAUACUUCUAUAGAUGAAUCCAUUAACAUUUGUGGAGUGCAAACAAAUGUCACUUUCUUGGGUUAUGAUUUAUUUGUCUUUUCCACAUACAUUUGUUAAACACAGAGGCCACCGUUGGAGUUAUUUGGAAUGAUGCAGGCCUGAACACUGGCACGUAAUUUAUUUGUAAGUUAUGCACGGUGGGUACACUCUAUUUGACUCUUUUGAGGGUUGUUUCUUUAAUCUGGGGACCUUAUUAUGUAAACCUGUUAUUAUUUCUUUAUUUGUGCAGAUACUGUAAGCAUGAUUUUCUAACAUGCUUCUUUCUUUCGUUUGGACAGCUUCAAGUAGGUUGACUUGACUUAUGUGGUUUAAAAUCUUGUUCCUGCAUUUUUAUUUUUCUUUUAAUAGACAUCAUAUAUUGGUUGCAAUAUGCUAUGUCGUUUGACCGAGUUAUUUGGUGGUUGGGCCACUUAUCUCCAGACAUGCUGUAUGUUACCAGAUGCUAUAUUUGUUUUCCAAUUUUUUUCAAUUGAAAAUAAGAAACUGACAUACAGAGCUAUUUCAUGAUUCAUGGCUUUGGGAAAUGAUGUGAGCUUUGUUGAAUUGCUAAAAGGAUAACCAUUGAGCAAAGAAAGAAAUUUCAGCAUAAUCUUGUUAUAGGUGAUGAUUGGAUAAUAAAUUUUGUUGAUUAUUAAUAUUUAAGAAGUUGGCAAUGUAAAAUAAAGUGGGACCUAUUUAUGAUUUUGUA